AAUUUCCAGGUACAGCAAAGUCUAUGUGUUUUGAAGAUGUAUGAAGGUUGUCAUGACAGAUGUUUUCCAAAAACUUGAAGUAGAAGAUGGCUAAGAAACAACUGGGAACUCCACUGCAUGUAAUCAGCAUAUAGGUAGCUGUAGGUGAACAUUCAAGUCCUUUACCUGUGGUGUUUAAAAGUACUUCGCUGCCUCAAGUGUGGCACGCAUCAUUUUUGGAGAGAAAUGAAUUGGUCAAGAAAACAGAUGAACAGAGUAAAAUGAUGAAAAUUAAUUAAUAUUUUAUUUGACAUUGAUAACCUCACAAUAAAUAAAUGUAGAAAAAUACAA
Galeopterus variegatus (Sunda flying lemur) is the source of this 330-nucleotide long non-coding RNA. RefSeq lists it as uncharacterized. The record is from RefSeq and is a predicted model, not a curated record. The transcript has 3 exons. Lineage: Eukaryota; Metazoa; Chordata; Mammalia; Dermoptera; Cynocephalidae.